AAUUAAGUGUAAAUAAAAAUAGUGUAAGGCACUAUUUUAAUUAGAAUUAAAGAAGUAAAGUAUAAGUCGAAAAUGACUUAUGCUGAAAUCGGAGUAAAAACAGGAGAUUUAGAAUUUUCUGUGAGAAACGGGACUGAUAUUUUAGCAGAAAAAUUUACAAUGUCAGAAAAUUAUGAAAAUCUGAAAAUAUGUCGGGAUUAUUUUUAUGAGGCUAGAUUUAAUGUUUCAUGUCAUUCUGACAUCCGGAAAGUGGAAAAUAAAAUCCGACUGCUAUCUGCUAGAGAUUUUAGUUUGGUAGAGCUUUCGGCGACCAAAAAGGUCAAAACUGAAAACUUAAGAUAUUUUCUUUCUUAUUAAGAAAAAUCGAGCCUGACUGUCAAAUUUGAGAGAAAACGGACAUUCAGAAGGGCUCCGGCGAAAGGUAUCAAAUUCUGAGUUGCUAAACCAAAAUUAAUGUUGUGGAGGUUGAUUAUAAAAA
This 478-nucleotide long non-coding RNA is filed under the name Ananas comosus (pineapple). Its description in RNAcentral is "long non-coding RNA (ACOM_LNC043076)". Lineage: Eukaryota; Viridiplantae; Streptophyta; Magnoliopsida; Poales; Bromeliaceae. The record is from RNAcentral.